UGGGAAUGUGUGUGUGUGUGUGAUGCUAGCCUGGCAAUCUGUGUGUGUGUGUAAUGCUAGCCUGGCAAUCUGUGUGUGUGUGUGAUGCUAGCCUGGCAAUCUGUGUGUGUGUGUGUGUGAUGCUAGCCUGGCAAUCUGUGUGUGUGUGAUGCUAGCCUGGCAAUCUGUGUGUGUGUGAUGCUAGCCUGGCAAUCUGUGUGUGUGUGUGUGUGAUGCUAGCCUGGCAAUCUGUGUGUGUGUGUGUGAUGCUAGCCUGGCAAUCUGUGUGUGUGUGUGUGUGUGAUGCUAGCCUGGCAAUCUGUGUGUGUGUGUGUGUGUGAUGCUAGCCUGGCAAUCUGUGUGUGUGUGUGUGUGAUGC
Molecule: non-coding RNA, 358 nt
Organism: Pelobates cultripes (western spadefoot toad)
Lineage: Eukaryota; Metazoa; Chordata; Amphibia; Anura; Pelobatidae
Source: the annotation of a GenBank genome assembly